Molecule: ribosomal RNA, 1350 nt
Filed under: metagenome
Description: bacterial LSU rRNA
Rfam family: Bacterial large subunit ribosomal RNA
Source: RNAcentral
UGAUCCUAUGCUGCCGAGAAAAGCCUCUAGUGAGUGUUGUGGCGGCCCGUACCCUAAACCGACUCAGGUGGUCAGGUAGAGAAUACCAAGGCGAUCGGGUGAACUGUGGUUAAGGAACUCGGCAAAUUGCCCCCGUAACUUCGGGAGAAGGGGGACCUCUGUUGGUGAUGGGCUUUACGCCUGGAGCUGGUGGGGGUCGCAGUGGCCAGGGGGAAGCGACUGUUUACUAAAAACACAGGUCCGUGCGAAGUCGUAAGACGAUGUAUACGGACUGACGCCUGCCCGGUGCCGGAACGUUAAGGGGACCGCUUAGCUGACGUGAGUUGGCGAAGGUGAGAACUUAAGCGCCGGUAAACGGCGGUGGUAACUAUAACCAUCCUAAGGUAGCGAAAUUCCUUGUCGGGUAAGUUCCGACCUGCACGAAUGGCGUAACGACUUCCCCGCUGUCUCAACCGCAGACCCGGCGAAAUUGCACUACGAGUAAAGAUGCUCGUUUCGCGCAGCAGGACGGAAAGACCCCGGGACCUUCACUACAGCUUGACAUUGGCGUUUGGAACGUCUUGUGUAGGAUAGGUGGGAGACUGGGAAGCUGUCACGCUAGUGAUGGUGGAGUCAUUGGUGAAAUACCACUCUGGUCGUUUUGAACGUCUAACUCUGGUCCGUGAUCCGGAUCGUGGACAGUGUCUGGUGGGUAGUUUAACUGGGGCGGUUGCCUCCUAAAGAGUAACGGAGGCGCCCAAAGGUUCCCUCAGCCUGGUUGGCAAUCAGGUGUUGAGUGUAAGUGCACAAGGGAGCUUGACUGUGAGACUGACAGGUCGAGCAGGAGCGAAAGCUGGGACUAGUGAUCCGGCAUCGGCGUGUGGAAGCGGUGUCGCUCAACGGCUAAAAGGUACCCCGGGGAUAACAGGCUGAUCUUCCCCAAGAGUCCAUAUCGACGGGAUGUUUGGCACCUCGAUGUCGGCUCGUCGCAUCCUGGGGCUGGAGUAGGUCCCAAGGGUUGGGCUGUUCGCCCAUUAAAGCGGUACGCGAGCUGGGUUUAGAACGUCGCGAGACAGUUCGGUCCCUAUCCGCUGCGCGCGCAGGAGACUUGAAGGGGGCUGUCCCUAGUACGAGAGGACCGGGACGGACGAACCUCUGGUGUGCCAGUUGUACCGCCAGGUGCACGGCUGGUUGGCUACGUUCGGAAGGGAUAACCGCUGAAAGCAUCUAAGCGGGAAGCUCGCCUUGAGAUGAGGUCUCCCACCACGAGAGUGGGUAAGGCUCCCGGUAGACGACCGGGUUGAUAGGCCGGAGGUGGAAGCACGGUAACGUGUGGAGCUGACCGGUACUAAUAGGCCGAGGACUUGACCG